CCCCAGAUGUUGCUGAACUACAACUCCCAUGAUUCUCUGGCUAUCUAUGUAAUCAUGGGAGUUGUAGUUCAGCAACAUCUGGGG
This is a non-coding RNA of Pelobates cultripes (western spadefoot toad), 84 nucleotides long. The record is from the annotation of a GenBank genome assembly. Lineage: Eukaryota; Metazoa; Chordata; Amphibia; Anura; Pelobatidae.